GUGCGAAAUAUUACUGUAAACGGCCGCCCUAGCGUGAGGGUGCUAAGGUAGCGAAAUUCCUUGCCUUUUGAUUGUAGGCCUGCAUGAAUGGUUUAACGAGGGUUUAACUGUCUCUUGAUUAAAAAUUGAAAUUGUACUGAAGGUGAAGAUACCUUCAUUAAAAAGUCAGACAAAAAGACCCCGUGCAACUUUGAAAAUUAACUUUAUUCAGAAGUGAAAGAUUUUUAGGUGGGGCGCCUAGAAAGUAAAUCUAACCUUUCUGAACAUUUAAUUCUUUCCGGACUUGACCCGAUUAUAUUCGAUCAUAGGAGAAGUUACGCCGGGGAUAACAGGCUAAUCCUUUAGUAGAGCUCGUAUUGGCUAAAGGGAUUGGCACCUCGAUGUUGAAUCAGGGAUGAUAGCUUCAAGGCGUAGAGGCUUUGAGAGUAGGUCUGUUCGACCUUUAAUACCCU
This 452-nucleotide ribosomal RNA is filed under the name Magallana ariakensis (Suminoe oyster). Its description in RNAcentral is "partial large subunit ribosomal RNA". It matches the Rfam family "Bacterial large subunit ribosomal RNA", at positions 1908 to 2597 of the family's 2925-position model. Lineage: Eukaryota; Metazoa; Mollusca; Bivalvia; Ostreida; Ostreidae. The record is from RNAcentral.